AAUAGAUACCCAGGUAGUCCACGCCGUAAACGAUGAGUGCUAAGUGUUAGGGGGUUUCCGCCCCUUAGUGCUGCAGCUAACGCAUUAAGCACUCCGCCUGGGGAGUACGGUCGCAAGACUGAAACUCAAAGGAAUUGACGGGGGCCCGCACAAGCGGUGGAGCAUGUGGUUUAAUUCGAAGCAACGCGAAGAACCUUACCAGGUCUUGACAUCCCGUUGACCACUGUAGAGAUAUAGUUUCCCCUUCAGGGGCAACGGUGACAGGUGGUGCAUGGUUGUCGUCAGCUCGUGUCGUGAGAUGUUGGGUUAAGUCCCGCAACGAGCGCAACCCUUGAUCUUAGUUGCCAUCAUUUAGUUGGGCACUCUAAGGUGACUGCCGGUGACAAACCGGAGGAAGGUGGGGAUGACGUCAAAUCAUCAUGCCCCUUAUGACCUGGGCUACACACGUGCUACAAUGGACGAUACAAACGGUUGCCAACUCGCGAGAGGGAGCUAAAUCCGAUAAAGUCGUUCUCAGUUCGGAUUGUAGG
RNAcentral lists this ribosomal RNA (530 nucleotides) under uncultured bacterium. RNAcentral's name for it is "bacterial SSU rRNA". It matches the Rfam family "Bacterial small subunit ribosomal RNA", at positions 777 to 1304 of the family's 1533-position model. The record is from RNAcentral.